UAAGGCGAUUCGAACUCCCGACGUCCCAGCAUUGAGGUGAAAAACUUUGCACCGUGGGGCUGAGCCUGUUCCGUGUAUGGUCGAGAGAGAGAGAGAGAGAGAGAGUACUAAGGGCAUCCGAGCCGUGGGAGGAAGAAAGAGUUUAAAGCACUUGUCUCCUUCGCUGGUGUGUGCGGAUGGGAAGCCGAUUAGCUGUUCACACAGGAGGAAAACAACCAUUAAGGUUCUAUGUAUGCAAACCAUCUUGGAGUUAGCAAGCUACCUUGGCCUACUCUCUCUAGCACUACUGUUCCACACACGAUUACGAACUCAAAGUUCCAAUGAAUGGCAAGUGCUCUGGCCGGCUGUCUCUUUGAAUCCAUGGCACUUAGCAAUCAUUUGGUUUGGCAUCUCCGUGGUAAUUCAUCAGAGCUGGAUAUUGCCAAAGAUUAAGGUCAGAGCUUGGAGAUGAUCCCCAAGAAGAUAUUAGAUGGGAAGAGGAAGCAUUUAGAUGGUGAUUGUAGAAAGAAGAUGAAUGUGGGAUCUGCUUGGAGCCUUGCACCAAAAUGGUUUUGCCAAACGGCUAUCAAGCAAUGUGCACCAAUUGCAACUGUGAUUGGUAAAAGUAAAUCUCUUUCUUUCUUUCUUUCUUUCUUUAUUUCUUUCUUUGUAGUGCAAGACUUUGUAUUGCUUGUUAAGACUUACAAUGGCAAGCUUGUUUGCGGUUAACCCAAAAAACAAUGAACCAACUUCUUUUAAGAGCACCUGAGAGUCGAAUUAUAUUAACAAAGAAACUAAAUACAUUCUUUUGGAAGAUCCUUUGCUCUUUAUCUUCAUUGUGGUGUUAAAUGUUUUCUGAUUUUUCUGAUAUAUACUGCCCUGGCUUAUACAACUUCUCAUACCACCUAAUACAUGGAAUUGCAUCAGUAUUAUAUUGUCGUCAACCAGUCAUGAAGCAUACGAGUUUACUGAUAUUAUAAUAACCUUUACGUGAUGACAAAAUUAGGAGAAUAUAGACAAGAAUGUGAGCCCCUCUUUGAUUUUGAGCUAUAAAAGCAGUUUUCAAGAACAGGAAACGUAAAAUAAUUCUCAGAGAGCAGAAAAAGAGUGUUCUCUAAAAUUAUAUAUUUUUUUUACCCUGUUCCUAGAGAACAGUUUCCUGAAAAUGCUCACUCAAGUGAAAUUUCGAAAUAUUUUCUAUAUAUGUACCAUCCUGCUUCAGCCGUCCAAUUUCAACUUGUAGUAUGGAUGAUAUAUUGAGCUCAUUUCAAAGUAGUAUAAGCAUGAGUUUCAAUUUUUCCUAUUGCAUGUGUUGACCCUACGGAUUUCUCCUAAGGGCAAUUCGGUACUUUUGAUGAUAACAAACCAUUAAUGAUGUUCAAUGGACUAAUGUUUUCAUUGAAGUUCAAUUCCAGAUCAAAAGGAACAUUAUAAGGACAGGAAGGAAGUAUCCAACUCACUGAAGCUAAAAUCACACUGGAACAUUCAUCAAGAUACAACCGGCUCAAGGAAGUGUACGUAACUUCAAAGAUCAUAAAAGCCUAUCUAUAAGGUAGAAAGGUUGGUGAAUGACUUAGGAACUAAAUGUAAAGAAUCUAUGAGAUCAUCUGAAGCUCUUUGUAAGAUCAUUCAUCUCUCACACACUUCAGAUCAUCACACUCAUGCAUAUCAUAGUUCCAAUCAUUAACACUAAGUAUCUAAAUCUUGAGGCAUCACACAGCAGCAAUCAAAUAGGUUAAGAUUGAACUCAACCAACUCAGUCAGCAAUCCAGCCGACUGGAUUAGGCCGAGACUCAACAAAUUCAGGAAGGUAACUCAGUCGGCUCAAUUAACAAAUCAGCCGGCUCAGUUCACAACUGAGCCGACUCAGUUUGAAAAUUCAGUCGACUUAAUUAGGCUAAGGCUAUGCAUUUUGAAAAUCUUGAAUCUAUCCAACUUAGCCGACUUGGUUAUUAACCAAGUCGACUUGUUCUUGAACCCAGCCGACUCAAUUCACAAUUGAGUCGACUUAGUUGAUGGUCAACCAGAUCUGCAUUGAAAUCCUCCAUAUUUCAACCCGUGCUUCUCUUUAUGCUUUUGCAGUUUGACUCACAUGGGUUCACUGACAUAUUGUGUGUCUUCUAGCUCUUGUCUUGAUGUCAACAGCCAUUUUAUCUAUUAAAGGAUCAUACACAUGAUUUCAAAUCUUAUCUGCCCUAUGCACUAAACACUUCUGUCAAACAAGGAAUCUCUGUCAUGGGAAGCUUCUCUACCAAAUGUGCCAUGACAAGUCUUAAUCAAGAAAAGGACUUUCAACGGCUAAGUCAAGGGCUUACAACGGUUAUGGUCUAUGAAAGAGCUCUGUAAAUGUUAUGAGAAGCAAGCUGCAAAAGAUAAGUCUCUGAGCCUCAUUUUCAACAAGUGAUUCAUAUCAUCUUACUGAGAAAGAAAGUUUGGUUACCCUCCACUCUUUAAUCCUCAAAGCUAAACUUCAGAUUCUUCUUUCACACAUACUUCAUUUAGAGAGAGUGAGCUUCAUUUGUAUCAUUGGAUUCUCUAGAAAGAGUGAACUACUGUGAGAGAAAGAUUGUUGUAACACACUUAUUCAUUUCAUUGUAAGAUUAGGAGAAGAAAUUUUCUUAGUCCAAUUACUGUAAGGGCUGGUUUGGCCCCUAAGACUUUGAGAGAGAAUCUCUCAGCCAAGAAACUGUUUCUUUCAAGGUUUGCUCUCCACCCGUAAGGAGGAGCCAUAUUGGAUUGGAAAGUCUCAAGAGGGGUCUUGAGCCGAGGAGUAGGAGCUUCCAAACCUCGCUAAAAUCGCUGUGUCUAUGUUUGCAAUAUCUCUAUCUCUCCCCUUUACAUUACUGCUUACAUUUAUAUGCUGAUUUAUCUGACUUGAUUCUGUUAUCUCACUAUUGCAUAUCAGCUUAAGUAGUUAUUCUAAGAAUACUUUUUCAAAUCUUUAAACUUGCUUUAGUUGGACAAGGACUCUAUUCACCCCCCCUCUAGAGUCCAUUCUUGGGCAACAGCAUGUUUAAUUGACUUCCUGAAGCUGGUACUUGAAUA
Cornus florida is the source of this 3024-nucleotide long non-coding RNA. RefSeq lists it as uncharacterized. The transcript has 3 exons. The record is from RefSeq and is a predicted model, not a curated record. Lineage: Eukaryota; Viridiplantae; Streptophyta; Magnoliopsida; Cornales; Cornaceae.